CCCGAGAAACGGCUACCACUUCCAAGGAAGGCAGCAGGCGCGCAACUUACCCUAAUCUCGAUUCGAGGAGGUAGUGACAAGAAAUACCGAUGCGGGACCCUACGGGUGACCGCGUUCGGAAUGAGUACGAUUCGAACCACCUAACGAGGAACGAUCGGAGGGCAAAGUCUGGUGCCAGCAGCCGCGGUAAUUCCAGCUCCAAUAGCGUACGUUAAAGUUGCUGCAGUUAAAAAGCUCGUAGUUGAACGUUCGGGUUCCGCGGGGACGGGGCCGCCCCGCGAGGGACGGCGCCGCCCCGGGGCUCGUGAUAUCUCAUCUCGCCGCCCGUCGCGAGGCGGACGGAGGGAUGGAUGAGGUUACCUGGAAAAAAUCGGGGCGAUCUAGGCGGCGAACCUCGCCAACGAACGAUCGGACAUGGGAUAACGGAAGAGGGCGUCGGCUCGACUU
Molecule: ribosomal RNA, 447 nt
Filed under: uncultured eukaryote
Lineage: Eukaryota
Description: bacterial SSU rRNA
Rfam family: Eukaryotic small subunit ribosomal RNA
Source: RNAcentral